Molecule: ribosomal RNA, 508 nt
Filed under: uncultured bacterium
Lineage: Bacteria
Description: bacterial SSU rRNA
Rfam family: Bacterial small subunit ribosomal RNA
Source: RNAcentral
UUCGGAUUGUAAAGCCCUUUAAGUUGGGAGGAAGGGCAGUAAGUUAAUACCUUGCUGUUUUGACGUUACCAACAGAAUAAGCACCGGCUAACUUCGUGCCAGCAGCCGCGGUAAUACGAAGGGUGCAAGCGUUAAUCGGAAUUACUGGGCGUAAAGCGCGCGUAGGUGGUUCAGCAAGUUGGAUGUGAAAUCCCCGGGCUCAACCUGGGAACUGCAUCCAAAACUACUGAGCUAGAGUACGGUAGAGGGUGGUGGAAUUUCCUGUGUAGCGGUGAAAUGCGUAGAUAUAUGGAGGAACACCGGUGGCGAAAGCGGCUCUCUGGUCUGUAACUGACGCUGAGGCUCGAAAGCGUGGGGAGCAAACAGGAUUAGAUACCCUGGUAGUCCACGCCGUAAACGAUGAGUGCUAGGUGUUGGGUCCUUUCCGGGACUCAGUGCCGCAGCUAACGCAUUAAGCACUCCGCCUGGGGAGUACGACCGCAAGGUGAAACUCAAAGGAAUUGACGGU